RNAcentral lists this ribosomal RNA (460 nucleotides) under uncultured bacterium. RNAcentral describes it as "partial 16S ribosomal RNA". It matches the Rfam family "Bacterial small subunit ribosomal RNA", at positions 338 to 795 of the family's 1533-position model. The record is from RNAcentral.
CCUACGGGGUGCAGCAGUGAGGAAUAUUGGUCAAUGGGCGCGAGCCUGAACCAGCCAAGUAGCGUGAAGGAUGACUGCCCUACGGGUUGUAAACUUCUUUUAUAAAGGCAUAAAGUGAGGCACGUGUGCCUUUUUGUACGUACUUUAUGAAUAAGGAUCGGCUAACUCCGUGCCAGCAGCCGCGGUAAUACGGAGGAUCCGAGCGUUAUCCGGAUUUAAUGUGUUUAAAGGGAGCGGAGAUGGGUUGUUAAGUCAGUUGUGAAUGUUUGCGGCUCAACCGUAAAAUUGCAAUUGAUACUGGCAGUCUAGAGUACAGUUGAGGUAGGCGGAAUUCGUGGUGUAGCAGUGAAAUGCUUAGAUAUCACGAAGAACUCCGAUUGCGAAGGCAGCUUACUAAGCUGCCACUGACAUUGAUGCUCGAAAGUGUGGGUAUCAAACAGGAUUAGAUACCCUUGUAGUC